CCUACGGGAGGCAGCAGUGAGGAAUAUUGGUCAAUGGACGAGAGUCUGAACCAGCCAAGUAGCGUGAAGGAUGACUGCCCUAUGGGUUGUAAACUUCUUUUAUAUGGGAAUAAAACAGGGUAUGCAUACCCUCUUGUAUGUACCAUAUGAAUAAGGAUCGGCUAACUCCGUGCCAGCAGCCGCGGUAAUACGGAGGAUCCGAGCGUUAUCCGGAUUUAUUGGGUUUAAAGGGAGCGUAGGUGGAUUGUUAAGUCAGUUGUGAAAGUUUGCGGCUGAACCGUAAAAUUGCAGUUGAAACUGGCAGGCUUGAGUACAGUAGAGGUGGGCGGAAUUCGGGGUGUAGCGGUGAAAUGCUUAGAUAUCACGAAGAACUCCGAUUGCGAAGGCAGCUCACUGGACUGCAACUGACACUGAUGCUCGAAAGUGUGGGUAUCAAACAGGAUUAGAUACCCGAGUAGUC
This 460-nucleotide ribosomal RNA is filed under the name uncultured bacterium. Its description in RNAcentral is "partial 16S ribosomal RNA". It matches the Rfam family "Bacterial small subunit ribosomal RNA", at positions 338 to 795 of the family's 1533-position model. The record is from RNAcentral.